Thalictrum thalictroides is the source of this 88-nucleotide non-coding RNA. Lineage: Eukaryota; Viridiplantae; Streptophyta; Magnoliopsida; Ranunculales; Ranunculaceae. The record is from the annotation of a GenBank genome assembly.
AAUGCAAAUGAUGAUAAAAUAGACAGGGACAUCAGACUCAUUGUUGAGAGUGAUGACUUAAGUCUAAUGGGAAUCUCUCUGAUGCAUU